Long non-coding RNA from Girardinichthys multiradiatus, 931 nucleotides. RefSeq lists it as uncharacterized. The record is from RefSeq and is a predicted model, not a curated record. NCBI's taxonomy places the organism in Eukaryota, Metazoa, Chordata, Actinopteri, Cyprinodontiformes, Goodeidae. The transcript is spliced from 3 exons.
CCAUUGCUAAGAACUUGCAUGGACCGUCAUAAGCGUGCACCAAUUAAGUACCAUGUACUGUAAUGUAUUAGGUGAGACUAGCUGUACAAUUCUGCAUAAACACGUAGUAGAAGACACAGGGGUGGUAAGAUGGUCAGGUCAGUUAGAAAUAGACUACUCCUUACCUAGGGUCUAUGUUUGCUAUGAAGCAGAACAUUAGCAUUGUUUACUUAUUUAUUGCAGGACCUAUAGUCAUCACAACAGUCACCAAUAUUACUGCAGAUCGCAUAUCGUUCAGCCAUACUGUAUUAUCAAUUCUUGAAAUUGUUAGGAUUUUGUUUGUCUCCAGGAAGAGAGAUAUAGUUGCAUGCAAGGCAUAGUUUCUGUAAAAAACAACAACAAAUGGAUUAACAACAGAGUCUUUGGCCAAACAGUGCAGCAGCAGAGAACCAGGUUGGCCUGUUGUUUUGGGUGGAAAGAGACAGGGACAAGAACUUGAUUUAUUAGGUCCGUUUCCUUCUGACUCAGGCUGCUUCCAACACCCCCCUCCUGCUACACCUAAUGCAGCACAGCACCUGAGGACCAGAGAAAGGAGCCAGGGGACAAUCAACGGAGGGCUGUGGAGGAGGAAGAGGAAGAUAGGGAUACAGGAACUGCAGAACACAUUCCUACUGAGAGCUGUUCCUCCUCGCUUCAGCCUUUUUCUACCCUGGUUGCCAAGACCACUGUUACACCACAACGGCACUCCAGAAAUUUCUCACAGUGACUGUUUGAUUUCAGUGUCAUGGUCGACAUUUCGCUGAAGAUGGAAGGAGUUAAAGCAACCAAAUUCUUAGAGUCACACCUCGUAGUGGCGAUUAGCAACUGGCUGCACUGAGAGGGAGUUCUCCGAAACAUCGCCUUAACUGCAUUCAAACCUGUCCGGCAGGUAGCUGCUGUCUUUAUAAACACA